Spea bombifrons (plains spadefoot toad) is the source of this 967-nucleotide long non-coding RNA. RefSeq lists it as uncharacterized. Lineage: Eukaryota; Metazoa; Chordata; Amphibia; Anura; Pelobatidae. The transcript has 3 exons. The record is from RefSeq and is a predicted model, not a curated record.
CCGGCAGCCCGUCCGGCUCCGACGCUCCGCAGCUGGCAGGUUAUUUUUGCCGCCGUUUACUUAAUAUGGUCAGAUAGGGAACGGCACGAGAAGAGAGCCCUUGCCGGGCGAGGCUUGUUUCAGAUGCUUAGUUGGGUAUAUAAGUACUCGAGGAGUGCACGCUGCCGCACUAUAAACUUCAUGGCAUUUCUUAUUUUCAGUCUUGUUGCUUCAUUCUCAGCGAGAUCUCCAGGUUUGGAUUUUAAGUUCAUAUAUUUCGACCCGUCCAGUUCCUCUUCGGAGGAAAGAAAAGGAGCUCAGAUGUCUCGGACAAGCAGAUGCCUCAUGUAAUAAUUCUGCUUCAGUGCGGAGAAAGUGCGCGCAUGCAAAGCCUUUCAACAUUUCAAGGAAAAGCCCCAAGCCAAGGGCACAGCCUUUGUCUCUCAGAGACGCACCUUGCGCAUGAAGUCGCCUGCAGUUCUUGACCCACUGAGAAUAUAAAAGGCUCCGGUGUCUCGCGUUAUUAAGGGACGGUUGGAAUGACUUCAUUCAUCGCUGGACCGUCCUGAAGGACCCGCUCCGCUCCGCUCAAGGCUUGAAUGCUUUGCUAAAGCUGGUAAAAUGGAACCAAAUCAACUGUUGAAUGGAUUUGGUCCCCUUCAACCAGCUGCAGCUGUGCAUUGAUCACUCUGACCCGGAAUCCCUCCCGGAGCCCAAGAGAUGCCUGACGUUCCAAGAUCCGUCGCCCAGACGAGCUGUAAUCUGGGGCUGGGGCUGUUCCAUGAAGCGCUCGCCGGCUAAUUCUGUAUUAAGCGAGACUGGAAAAGACUCAGAAUGUGAAUAUUCCCCGUGUAUUAAUCUGAAGGGGCACAGAGGGUGGACGAGGUAUAGAUAACGCUCUUUAUGUUCACAGCGACCCGUGGGUUUCGUUUAUACAGACUGUAAACUUUUCAAAUGAAUGAUUAAAAAAAUACCUUUAAAAAUGUAA